GGAGAGGUGGCCGAGCGGCUGAAGGCACCGGUUUGCUAAACCGGCGUAGGGUUAUUAGCUCUACCGCGGGUUCGAAUCCCGCCCUCUCCG
This 90-nucleotide transfer RNA is filed under the name Planctomycetota bacterium. RNAcentral's name for it is "Planctomycetes bacterium (bioreactor metagenome) tRNA-Ser". It matches the Rfam family "tRNA". Rfam says of the family: Transfer RNA (tRNA) molecules are approximately 80 nucleotides in length. Their secondary structure includes four short double-helical elements and three loops (D, anti-codon, and T loops). Further hydrogen bonds mediate the characteristic L-shaped molecular structure. tRNAs have two regions of fundamental functional importance: the anti-codon, which is responsible for specific mRNA codon recognition, and the 3' end, to which the tRNAs corresponding amino acid is attached (by aminoacyl-tRNA synthetases). tRNAs cope with the degeneracy of the genetic code in two manners: having more than one tRNA (with a specific anti-codon) for a particular amino acid; and 'wobble' base-pairing, i.e. permitting non-standard base-pairing at the 3rd anti-codon position. The record is from RNAcentral. Lineage: Bacteria; Pseudomonadati; Planctomycetota.